This 972-nucleotide ribosomal RNA is filed under the name Escherichia coli. RNAcentral's name for it is "partial 23S ribosomal RNA". It matches the Rfam family "Bacterial large subunit ribosomal RNA", at positions 418 to 1391 of the family's 2925-position model. The record is from RNAcentral. Lineage: Bacteria; Pseudomonadati; Pseudomonadota; Gammaproteobacteria; Enterobacterales; Enterobacteriaceae.
CGGGACACGUGGUAUCCUGUCUGAAUAUGGGGGGACCAUCCUCCAAGGCUAAAUACUCCUGACUGACCGAUAGUGAACCAGUACCGUGAGGGAAAGGCGAAAAGAACCCCGGCGAGGGGAGUGAAAAAGAACCUGAAACCGUGUACGUACAAGCAGUGGGAGCCUCUUUAUGGGGUGACUGCGUACCUUUUGUAUAAUGGGUCAGCGACUUAUAUUCUGUAGCAAGGUUAACCGAAUAGGGGAGCCGAAGGGAAACCGAGUCUUAACUGGGCGUUAAGUUGCAGGGUAUAGACCCGAAACCCGGUGAUCUAGCCAUGGGCAGGUUGAAGGUUGGGUAACACUAACUGGAGGACCGAACCGACUAAUGUUGAAAAAUUAGCGGAUGACUUGUGGCUGGGGGUGAAAGGCCAAUCAAACCGGGAGAUAGCUGGUUCUCCCCGAAAGCUAUUUAGGUAGCGCCUCGUGAAUUCAUCUCCGGGGGUAGAGCACUGUUUCGGCAAGGGGGUCAUCCCGACUUACCAACCCGAUGCAAACUGCGAAUACCGGAGAAUGUUAUCACGGGAGACACACGGCGGGUGCUAACGUCCGUCGUGAAGAGGGAAACAACCCAGACCGCCAGCUAAGGUCCCAAAGUCAUGGUUAAGUGGGAAACGAUGUGGGAAGGCCCAGACAGCCAGGAUGUUGGCUUAGAAGCAGCCAUCAUUUAAAGAAAGCGUAAUAGCUCACUGGUCGAGUCGGCCUGCGCGGAAGAUGUAACGGGGCUAAACCAUGCACCGAAGCUGCGGCAGCGACAUUAUGUGUUGUUGGGUAGGGGAGCGUUCUGUAAGCCUGUGAAGGUGUACUGUGAGGUAUGCUGGAGGUAUCAGAAGUGCGAAUGCUGACAUAAGUAACGAUAAAGCGGGUGAAAAGCCCGCUCGCCGGAAGACCAAGGGUUCCUGUCCAACGUUAAUCGGGGCAGGGUGAGUCGACCCC